This 3475-nucleotide long non-coding RNA is filed under the name Oncorhynchus kisutch (coho salmon). Its description in RNAcentral is "lncRNA (ENSOKIG00005050099.1)". The record is from RNAcentral. Lineage: Eukaryota; Metazoa; Chordata; Actinopteri; Salmoniformes; Salmonidae.
GGAUCUUGGAGAGCAUGGGUUCCUAGUCGAAGGGAGCUUGAUCACAAGCAAAUCUAAUGCAACUGUCUCCAUACCAUACAAGUACCUCGUCUACAAGCUUAAAAAGCAAAAGUACGAGUUUGAGUACAUAUACAAACUGGAUUCUAACUACCCCACCACCAACAGAUGUCUUUUUGUCAAAUCUCAUCUGCUUAAUGAAGAAGGGGACUGGCAUCAGUAUGAUGACAUCAUCUGUGUGGAGCCAUCCAAGAACGUGCUCAAGCGGCUAAAAGACGCUUUUUGGCCGGAACAAAGGAAAAGUGUCAUUGAAGGCCGAGAAAUUGCAGGGAAAGUUAUGCUGGAGAGUAUAUUUGACCUCCUCAGGAGCUGGACUGACAUUAACUUCAAGAGUUUCCUCAAUCAGCUGAAUCAGUUUUACCAGAUCUACGGGAACCCGUUUGUCUAUGAGGAGACACACAAGAAAUGGUACUCCUUAGACUACGACGAAAAAGAUGUAAGUGAAAUUCUUAAUGUCUGUUUGGCCUUUGCUUGUUUUGCUGUCUCCUGCCCUGCCUCCCCUCUUCUGAUUUAUCCCAGUUAUUUUGUUGCUGUUAGAAGUGAAAUGAGAGCAAGCAUUUCGCUGUGUCUAUUUGCUUGACUUGUAGAAAAGAUGACACCCACUCAUAUGAUUUGAACUCUGCCCAAUAAACGUGCGGACGCUGCACAAUGCUGUAAAUGUAUUGAGGUAAUAUUGUGUGGGAAUGAUCAUUUCUAUAAUGAUUGAUGUUGUUUUUUCACAUGUAUUUUUCAUUUGGUUGUCUUAUUGUACAUUCCUUUUGUAUGUGGAAGGGAAAAGCAAAUGGAUGAGUGUUGAGUUGCAGUGUGCAACCAUCCCCAAAACAAAUCUGUUAACAUUCACUGUUUGUUCUGCCUCCCCAAGGUCAGGAAGCUGCUGAAGCAGUUCAUGCUGGAUAACGUUGUUCCUCAGCUGCAGAAGGAGGGUGAGGGGAAGAGCUGCUUCAUCCAGGACCCCAUGAGGGCAGCUGUGGUCAUGCUGUACGCGUGGAAGAAGUUCGGCCUCAAGCUGGACCACGGAGAGUCCACCCGGCUCUGCAGCACCCUGUGCUUGCCCAAGCUGCCCAAAGACUCCUUUCUGCAGUACUGGACCGACUUCGCCCAAGCCGUCUCCGGUCUCAAAAACCUGCCAGACAUGUUGGUGGCUCUGAUCAACAGUGUGAAGACUGAAGGGCCCCGGUGGAUUUUGGUGCUCCCCCUGCUCCACCUCCUCAAGGGAUCCUCCAAACCGUUCACACCCAUAUCUACCACAGUCACCCCCAAGUACGAGCAGUCCUGGGCGGGCCUCCAAGGCCUCAAAGCAGACUACAUGACACACAACAGCCAGGACAGGAGAGCGAUGUUGAAUCUCAUGAAAAACAAUGGCCAUCUGGUUGAGGUGGACAGACUAGUGUCUCGGUCCUGGAUGUGUCUGCUGACCAUAGAGGACUUGGUGGAAUGCAGCAUACUCAUCAACGUGGAACUGCUGGACCUGCUCCAAGUCUUCACUCUGAGGGCCCCUCAAGAUGUCACCUAUAGCAACAAGCAGUAUGUGUCGGACACUCUCUCACAUAUUCAAAGCAAUCUCAUCGAGGAGAAAUACAGUUGUUUUAGUGAGGCGUAUGGCAGAGAGUGCUUGGCAACUGCAGUGAAGCUUCUUGAGAAGAUCUGCAAAGGAGUCCGAUCCACUUCAACCUACACGCAGAACUUCACAGACAUCCCUGUGGCAUGCAUGAACAUGGUUGUCUCAAUAUCUGAGUUUGCCCGGGCCUUUGAGUCACAGGUAUGUGGAGUUCAAGUAGAAAAUGUCUGAUGACUCAUUUAGACUUUGCCCAAGAUAAGCGGUUGGCCAACAGUAUGUAUGUACUGACUCUCUAGAUAACAAGGUUAUUUAUUAAACAGAAAACACAUUAAGAAAGACGUCUUUGAAUCUGACCACUAUCUUCUAUUUCGGGGAAUUUUCAGGGAUGUCACAAUACUAUAUUAUCAUAAUACAUAGGUGCCGAUACGAUAUGUAUUGGGAUUCUAUAUGGAUCAUGAUUCUUUACUGCGAUUCUAUGUUCCAAACAUAUUGCUCACUAUAUGUCUGCUGCAGAGCGAUAAGAGAGAGCAGGAGAACAACGAGUUUUGAUCAAGUCGGGGAAAUAAUAGUUUCAAAACAUGUUGGUUCACUAUUUAAAAAGAAGAUGGAGAACAAGCUCUAAAAGGACAAAUACCAGAGUUUUGGUGCAAGUCCAUUCUAGAAGUUGUAUUUCUAUGGUUGAGACAUUUCCGAAAAAGGAUGGAAAUAACUUAUCAUUCCUUUCAAGGCAACUAAGGAUGUGGAAAGAGAGCAUAUGCAUGCCAAGGAGCUGGAUCUGCUAUCCGGAACUGACUAGUUCAGACCAUAGAACAAUAUUUACUAGAACGGACAUUCCCAUUUAAGUCAAUUGUCUGUCAUGGGUGGACCGGUGGCCAUAUUGAGUGUACCCAUGAGUGUUCCAGACAAAUUGCUGUGGUUUGAGGGUCUUUGUCCAUUCUAGUAGUUGUAUUUCUAUGGUUGAGACAUUUCCGAAAAAGGAUGGAAAUAACUUAUCAUUCCUUUCAAGGCAACUAAGGAUGUGGAAAGAGAGCAUAUGCAUGCCAAGGAGCUGGAUCUGCUAUCCGAGGCGAUGGUGAUCGUCAGAUCCUGGAUCGGCACAACCUUCAGAGACCGGUUGCUAGCCAGGAGUGUGACCACCUUGUACCUCAGUGUAAAUGUCACCACAGAGAUAGAGGUGAGAAAAUGAUUCAUUUUUGUUGUGCAAAUCGUGAUUUGUAUUUUUUCAUGUGUAGUUCCGGAUUGUUUGUUUUUUUACUGACUGCUCUUUUUUUAUUUGCCAGAUGUGGAACAACAUAAUCUCUCUCAAGUUCGCCAAUGACGAUUUCACAAAAGAAUGGAGACAAACGUUCACUAGGGACUUGGAGGGCAAAUUGAAACAGGUAUGAAACUUCCACACAUACAGUAGAAUUGAGAUCAGACUGAAAUAUCCAUUGGUGAAAUGACUGAAAUACCUUUUCUGCACUUCUAGGAGUCUCCUCUGGAUCAGAUAGAGAUCUACUGUUCCAAGAUUGAGGUCCUGAAUGAAUCUCACCCUCACGUAGCCAAGACUAUCGAGAAAUGUGCCCUAGAAGCUGUCACCUCACUGUGCCAGGUAAGUAGACUGGUUACACUUGACUUAAAUACAGAUUCAAUAUACAGUACCAGUCAAGUUUGGACAAAACUACUCAUUCCAGGGUCUUUCUUGAUUUGCACUAUUUUCUACAUUGUAGAAUAAUACUGAAGACAUCAAAACUAUGAAAUAACACAUGGAAUCAUGUAGUAACCAAAAAAGUGUCAAACAAAUCAAAAAGCUGUCAUCAAGGAAAAGGGUGGCUACUUUGAAGAAUCUCUACUUUAAAAUAUAUUUUGAUUUGUUUAACA